AGACAGGACGGGGUUAAAGGAGCCGCUGACUCGGGGGCUCUGGCUCACUCAGGCCGCGGGGGAGAGAGGGGCACAGAGUGCGGGGCGGGCCUGCGGCGGCAGAGGCCAGCGUGACGUUGCACCAGCCUGAGGUGAGCCGUGCGUUCUCCCGGGGAAGUUGUCUCUGGAUGCCGGGACCCUGGCAGUGGCGGGCUGCACAGGCUCCCCGGAAGGGAGGUGUGGAUAGUAACCUGUGCUUGCACACAGGCUUCUUGGUGGCGGCAGCAGCAGCCUUGGCGUCUCAUGCCCGUCUCUGGGGUCCGCGCUUUUAGCAGCGGCUCGCGCCGUCUCUGGAGCUCCUUUAAGCCGCGCUCUCAAUCCUCUCUCCUCGCGCACCAGGAAACAAAGAGGGAAGAAAAAGUCUCUUGCCUCUUCGGCAGCUCCAGACCCUUUCCCGGACUCCCUCCCGGCUAGCCAUGGCGCACUAACCCCUUCAGGCUGUGUUCACGCCGCCAACCCCAGUCUUCUCCCUGGGAUCCGACCGAAGCCCGAGCCUCAGCUCCCAGCCCCACCCGCCCCGGCUGGUGAGCAGACAAGCCUCUCGGGCUGGUGAGUGCCUGUCGGCACCGAUCCUCUGCGGGAUCUCUCCGCUUUGCCCUCCGCACCCCUGUUGCUGCGCUCACCUCCGCGGCUCCCGUGAAGUUUGUUUAGAUCUGGAUCCAAACACAGUAAUAAGACAUUUUUGAGACAGUCAAAAAAGUUUCAACACAGACUUCUGAUAGACGAUAUUAACAUAUUAUUAUAAAAUUGUCUUAGAUAUUUAUGUGGUUAUAUUUUUAUUAAUUCCUCAUCCAUUAGAGAUACAGAAUUCAUGCAUGGAAAAAUUUGCUGUCUGAGAUUUGCAUAAAGUAAAAAGGGGAAAGAUGAGGGGCAUAGAUGAAAGAAGAAUGGGGACAUUUUGAAAUUAUUGAAUUGCGUGAUGGGCAUUUACUACACUCUCUAUUUUAUGUAUAAAAUGUUUAGUUUGUUUUUUUUUUUUGAGAAAGAAUUACUUUGUUAUUUAUUUUUUUAACAUCUUUAUUGGGGUACAAUUGCUUUACAAUGGUGUUAGUUUCUGCUCUAUAACAAAAUGAAUCAGUUAUAUAUAUACAUAUGUUCCCAUAUGUCCUCCCUCUUGCGUCUCCCUCCCUCCCACUCUCCCUAUCCCACCCCUCCAGGCUGUCAUAAAGCACCGAGCUAAUAUCCCUGUGCCAUGCGGCUGCUUCCCACUAGCUAUCUACCUUACUACGUUUGUUAGUGUGUGUAUGUCCAUGACUCUCUCUCGCCCUGUCAGAGCUCACCCUUCCCCCUCCCCAUAUCCUCAAGUCCGUUCUCCAGUAGGUCUGCGUCUCUAUUCCCGUCCCACCCCUAGGUUCUUCAUGACAUCCUUUUUUCCCUUAAAUUCCAUAUAUAUGUGUUAGCAUACGGUAUUUGUCUUUUUCUUUCUGACUUACUUCACUCUGUAUGACAGACUCUAGGUCUAUCCAUCUCAUUACAAAUAACUCAAUUUCGUUUCUUUUUAAGGCUGAGUAAUAUUCCAUUGUAUAUAUGUGCCACAUCUUCUUUAUCCAUUCAUCCGAUGAUGGGCACUUAGGUUGUUUCCAUCUCCGGGCUAUUGUAAAUAGAGCUGCAAUGAACAUUUUGGUACAUGACUCUUUUUGAAUUUUGGUUUUCUCAGGGUAUAUGCCCAGUAAUGGGAUUGCUGGGUCAUAUGGUAAUUCUAUCUGUAGUUUUUUAAGGAACCUCCAUACUGUUCUCCAUAGUGGCUGAACCAAUUCACAUUCCCACCAGCAGUGCAAGAGUGUUCCCUUUUCUCCACACCCUCUCCAGCGUUUAUUGUUUCUAGAUUUUUUGAUGAUGGCCAUUCUGACUGGUGUGAGAUGAUAUCUCAUUGUAGUUUUGAUUUGCAUUUCUCUAAUGAUUAAUGAUGUUGAGCAUUCUUUCAUGUGUUUGUUGGCAUUCUGUAUAUCUUCUUUGGAGAAAUGUCUAUUUAGGUCUUCUGCCCAUUUUUGGAUUGGGUUGUUUGUUUUUCUGAUAUUAAUCUGCAUGAGCUGCUUGUAAAUUUUGGAGAUUAAUCCUUCGACAGUUGCUUCAUUUGCAAAUAUUUUCUCCCAUUCUGACGGUUGUCUUUUCGUCUUGUUUAUGGUUUCCUUUGCUGUGCAAAAACUUUGAAGUUUCAUUAGGUCCCAUUUGUUUAUUUUUGUUUUUAUUUCCAUUACUCUAGAAGGUGGGUCAGAAAGGAUCUUGCUGUGAUUUAUGUCAUAGAGUGUUCUGCCUAUGUUUUCCUCUAAGAGUUUGAUAGUUUCUGGCCUUACAAAAAAUGUUUAGUUUGUUUUUAAAGAGACUUCUACACCUGUCCAGGUGGAGAUGGUGGUGACUUGGACAGAAUGGUUAUGGUAAAGGAAGGAAAGAAGAUCAGAUUCAGGGUAUAUUUUCUAGGUAAAGCUGACAACUUACUGGUGGAUAAAAUGUGAAAGAAAGAAUCAAGGGUAAGUUUAAGUGUUUGGUUGAAGUAAAUGGACAGUGCCAUUUACUGACAUGGGGGUGGGCAGGGGAAGGCUUGGUUGGCUGAAAUGAGGGGAGAUGUUGUCACAGACAUUUUGGGAAACUAUGACUAACCAUGAUGUUGCUUUAAUUUAGAAGCAUGUAAAAUGUGCACCCCCAAUACAUUUUUAAAUGUACAUGAAGAAGAUAGAGAAUGCUGAAUUAAUAAAUGAACAUAGAGUUUCUUUUCUUUUGUUUUAAGUAGCAAAACCUGGUCCAGUGACCACCACCCAUUCAAGCUGUAUAAAAUAAGGCUGGAGGGUUUCCCUGGUGGCGCAGUGGUUGAGAGUCCACCUGCCGAUGCAGGGGACGCGGGUUCGUGCCCCGGUCCGGGAGGAUCCCACAUGCCGCGGAGCGGCUGGGCCCGUGAGCCAUGGCCGCUGAGCCUGCGCGUCCGGAGCCUGUGCUCCGCAACGGGAGAGGCCACAACAGUGAGAGGCCUGCGUACCGC
This 3013-nucleotide long non-coding RNA is filed under the name Phocoena sinus (vaquita). RNAcentral's name for it is "lncRNA (ENSPSNG00000017507.1)". Lineage: Eukaryota; Metazoa; Chordata; Mammalia; Artiodactyla; Phocoenidae. The record is from RNAcentral.